CAGUUUCUACUCUCUAAACACUGUCUCUAAACUUCCCCUCUCUCUAAACCUUCAUCUAAGCAUUGGGAUUCUUAUUCUGCAGAUUUGAGGAUUUUGGAUAUUUGUUACGGAUCUACAAACCAGUUACACUCUAGGCUGUGUUGUGCAUCAAAUAAUUCAGAUUUGGGCUCUGAUCGACACAAAAACCCUAAUCCCCAAAUUAACAAAACUACGAUAUAAAUCAAAGCUACAACGCCUACCUCCAUAAUCACAGACUCACCAAUCAGACACUACUCCAAUUGAAUCCAUAGCUUCAUGAGUUGCUUCUUUUUUGUGGAUCACCGGAAGCAGCUAAUAAAACUCCGUUGGAUAUAUCUAUUGUUAUUAUUUAUUUAUUUUUUAUUUUAUUUUUGUAAAUUUGAAUUACCUUUGGUGAUCCAGUGAUGGCAUGAUGUCUUUGAGACCUGAUUUUAAUGACAAUUAUAAGCAUUCUACGUU
Long non-coding RNA from Helianthus annuus (common sunflower), 477 nucleotides. RefSeq lists it as uncharacterized. The record is from RefSeq and is a predicted model, not a curated record. The transcript has 2 exons. NCBI's taxonomy places the organism in Eukaryota, Viridiplantae, Streptophyta, Magnoliopsida, Asterales, Asteraceae.